UUCAAAAUCCUCCCCAAAAAACCUUCGAGAACGUUCCGUCCGCCAUGGACAUCUACUCCACGCCCUCCCCUCCUUCCUCAAGUCGGUCGAGCUCCGCCUCCACCGACCCCGCCCACCUCUCCACCACAGCCUCGCUCCCUCCGCCCGCACGCUGAUACCACCUAGAAGGGUCGCUUCGCGGAACCGCCCUGUUUCAGGACGAGGUCGAUCGGGCCGUGGACGCCAGCGUUAGCCACGCCGGCUCGGCUGCCUGGAUCCAGGUGGUCGACGCUGAUGUGCCUUGCGUUGCUGCAUUUCUCGCCUUCGUGCAGCAGACUGUUAACGAGCCUAUUCGAAAAUUUCUUCCGUUUCCUCUACGAUUUCCUCAGACGGAGGGGCGUAAUGAUGGCGGAGGCGAGUGGGACGCGAGAGCACGAAACCAAUUGAUUUCCAUGGCUCUGAUGUGUUUGGAAAUAUUUUCUCUGAGGACUUGUUACAUGACAUGCAUGGCUUGUCUAGCAAGUUGGAUCCACAUGACCUCAUUUAACCUUCUGAAUUAUGUGAUCAUUCGCGUUCAGCAGCCGUGCCAUCAUCAGAGUUAAAAGAAAGGGAAAAAAAUAGAGAGAGAGAGAGAGGCUAAAGCAUUGUCAUUUCGCUUCCAAUGAUCAAAGAAAUAUUCCUGACAAAUAAUCAUCCACAUGAUUGGCACUCGGACCCUCGCUGACACCGCGUAAGCAAUUAUGAUACAUUUUCCUUUCUCAGAAAGCAAGAUCCCCCCCCAAAAAAAAAGGGGAGGAAAGUUGCAGUCCUGCACAGUCACAAGUCAAAUGUGAGUUUCUACCUUCUCUCAGACUGAAAACUUCGAUUCUGGAGCCGGAUUUUCAUAGCAGCGUUCAGAAAGGAAGCAGAACCACUCUCAAAAAACAGAUUCCAUGCCCAAAUUGCUUAUGGCUGCCUUGCAAGAAGUUAAGUACGGUACAGCUGAGGCUUGUCUGGCUAUUCACUCUGAUCUGUGAAACAUUUGCAUGGUACGCAGCAAAACUCCAAACUAUAUAAUAUAUACACACUACGCCCAUCACAUAAAGCUGUGUUUUCCCAAGUUAUUCCUCAGUUUUUAUCGAUCCUUAUUCCCUGUCUUCUAGCAAGUCCAGAUCUUACAGAUUGAUUGCAGAAAAAGGCACAAGUAUUCUUUCUCCGAACACAGAAGCCUGCUAAAGAAGCGGAAUAUUAUGAUGUCAAGGAAGGCAUGUCCUAGUGGGGAACAACACAUGGGAUGAGAGGAGCAACAUGAUCUCGAGAUCGAUGCAGAGGAGGGAAGCCGGUCCUCUUUUUAUGGGACUACGAGACGGAAGAUAAAGAAAGUUACAGCGAGGGCGAGCAGUACUUGCACAGUGCGGCCAGACAAGUUCCGACCUUUCGUUUUCUUUUCGGGAUUGAAAAUCCCGACGAAACUGUUAAGAAGAUUCAGAGCGAGCAGCCUAGCGCCGGAAUCGUACCUGGAGACCUCCUCCCAGAGGGGGCCCUUGAAUGUGGCUUCCCGGAAGGCGGCGUCCAUCUCGGAGCGGAUCUUGAGCAGCGCCAGCGUCUCCUGCCGCGGCCAGCGGUUGCCGGGCGCGCCGCCGGCGAGCGCCUCCUCGUCGAUUGCGUACCCGGCCGCGUCAAAGUUCACCAUGCCCGAGUCCGGCGCGCGACUGCUGAUCGGAGAGACCGCCUCUGCCGGCGGCGGCAGGCAGCUCGGGAAUGGAGCCAAGGUAGGGAAUUGCGGUGCUCCGUCCGCCGCCGCCGCAGCCCGCGGCGGCCCCGGCGGUGCCUGCUGCUGCAUGGACUUCCCCGCGCUCACUGAACUACAAUUUCGCUAAUUUUUAGAGCUCAGCGACGUAAAAGCUUCUGAAAUCAGUACAGCAAGCAAA
Long non-coding RNA from Zingiber officinale, 1889 nucleotides. RefSeq lists it as uncharacterized. The transcript has 4 exons. The record is from RefSeq and is a predicted model, not a curated record. Lineage: Eukaryota; Viridiplantae; Streptophyta; Magnoliopsida; Zingiberales; Zingiberaceae.